GACGAACGCUGGCGGCGUGCUUAACACAUGCAAGUCGAACGGAAAGGCCCUGCUUUUGUGGGGUGCUCGAGUGGCGAACGGGUGAGUAACACGUGAGUAACCUGCCCUUGACUUUGGGAUAACUUCAGGAAACUGGGGCUAAUACCGGAUAGGAGCUCCUGCUGCAUGGUGGGGGUUGGAAAGUUUCGGCGGUUGGGGAUGGACUCGCGGCUUAUCAGCUUGUUGGUGGGGUAGUGGCUUACCAAGGCUUUGACGGGUAGCCGGCCUGGGAGGGUGACCGGCCACAUUGGGACUGAGAUACGGCCCAGACUCCAACGGGAGGCAGCAGUGGGGAAUAUUGCACAAUGGGCGGAAGCCUGAUGCAGCAACGCCGCGUGCGGGAUGACGGCCUUCGGGUUGUAAACCGCUUUCGCCUGUGACGAAGCGUGAGUGACGGUAAUGGGUAAAGAAGCACCGGCUAACUACGUG
RNAcentral lists this ribosomal RNA (468 nucleotides) under uncultured bacterium. RNAcentral's name for it is "partial 16S ribosomal RNA". It matches the Rfam family "Bacterial small subunit ribosomal RNA", at positions 28 to 507 of the family's 1533-position model. The record is from RNAcentral.